RNAcentral lists this ribosomal RNA (766 nucleotides) under uncultured bacterium. RNAcentral's name for it is "bacterial SSU rRNA". It matches the Rfam family "Bacterial small subunit ribosomal RNA", at positions 28 to 776 of the family's 1533-position model. The record is from RNAcentral.
AUUGAACGCUGGCGGCAGGCCUAACACAUGCAAGUCGAGCGGCAGCGACUUAACUGAACCUUCGGGGAACGUUAAGGGCGGCGAGCGGCGGACGGGUGAGUAAUGCCUGGGAAUAUGCCCUGAUGUGGGGGAUAACUAUUGGAAACGAUAGCUAAUACCGCAUAAUCUCUUCGGAGCAAAGAGGGGGACCUUCGGGCCUCUCGCGUCAGGAUUAGCCCAGGUGGGAUUAGCUUGUUGGUGAGGUAAUGGCUCACCAAGGCAACGAUCCCUAGCUGGUCUGAGAGGAUGAUCAGCCACACUGGAACUGAGACACGGUCCAGACUCCUACGGGAGGCAGCAGUGGGGAAUAUUGCACAAUGGGGGAAACCCUGAUGCAGCCAUGCCGCGUGUGUGAAGAAGGCCUUCGGGUUGUAAAGCACUUUCAGUAGGGAGGAAGGUAGUGUAGUUAACACCUACAUUAUUUGACGUUACCUACAGAAGAAGCACCGGCUAACUCCGUGCCAGCAGCCGCGGUAAUACGGAGGGUGCGAGCGUUAAUCGGAAUUACUGGGCGUAAAGCGCAUGCAGGCGGCCUGUUAAGUCAGAUGUGAAAGCCCGGGGCUUAACCUCGGAAUUGCAUUUGAAACUGGCAGGCUAGAGUCUUGUAGAGGGGGGUAGAAUUUCAGUGUAGCGGUGAAAUGCGUAGAGAUCUGAAGGAAUACCAGUGGCGAAGCGGCCCCCUGGACAAAGACUGACGCUCAAUGCGAAAGCGUGGGGAGCAAAUAGG